Molecule: ribosomal RNA, 393 nt
Filed under: uncultured bacterium
Lineage: Bacteria
Description: partial 16S ribosomal RNA
Rfam family: Bacterial small subunit ribosomal RNA
Source: RNAcentral
AUACGGAGGAUCCGAGCGUUAUCCGGAUUUAUUGGGUUUAAAGGGUGCGCAGGCGGGAGAUUAAGUCGGCGGUGAAAUUUUGCAGCUCAACUGUAAAAGUGCCUUCGAAACUGGUUUCCUUGAGUGUAGAUGAAGUAGGCGGAAUUUGUGGUGUAGCGGUGAAAUGCAUAGAUAUCACGAGGAACUCCGAUUGCGCAGGCAGCUUACUAAACUACUACUGACGCUCAGGCACGAAGGCGUGGGGAUCAAACAGGAUUAGAUACCCUGGUAGUCCACGCAGUAAACGAUGAUUACUAGCUGUUUGCGAUACUAUGUAAGCGGCUGAGCGAAAGCGUUAAGUAAUCCACCUGGGGAGUACGUUCGCAAGAAUGAAACUCAAAGGAAUUGACGGGG